Molecule: ribosomal RNA, 208 nt
Filed under: uncultured bacterium
Lineage: Bacteria
Description: partial 16S ribosomal RNA
Rfam family: Bacterial small subunit ribosomal RNA
Source: RNAcentral
CGGAUUGCAGGCUGNAACCCGCCCUGCAUGAAGUUGGAAUCACUAGUAAUCGCGGAUCAGCAUGCUGCGGUGAAUGCGUUCUCGGGCCUUGUACACACCGCCCGUCACACCAUGAGAGUCGGGAACACCCGAAGUCCGUAGCCUAACCGCAAGGGGGGCGCGGCCGAAGGUGGGCUCGAUAAUUGGGGUGAAGUCGUAACAAGGUACC